This 221-nucleotide long non-coding RNA is filed under the name Olea europaea (common olive). RNAcentral's name for it is "long non-coding RNA (OEUR_LNC005478)". Lineage: Eukaryota; Viridiplantae; Streptophyta; Magnoliopsida; Lamiales; Oleaceae. The record is from RNAcentral.
GAUUUUGCAUUGGAAGAGUGAAAAUUGGUUUGGUAUUGCAACUUUGAAGCAGUUUAUAGAUUUAAUUCGGUGAUCUCAAAUGCUGUGGUAAAAAGUUAAACUGUCCAACCAAAUAAUUUUUGCAUGCUUGUAUGUUUGUUGUUACUUAGAUUUCAGUUUUGUUUGAGGACAAACAAAGAUUCAAGUUUGGGGGUUUGAUAAGUGUAUUUUCUACACUUAUU